GUGAAAUUGUUGAAAGGGAACCGCUGGGAAGCAGUGUGAUGGGCGUAGAUUCAUCUAUGCCAUAUCAAGUAAGGCUUGUUUCGAUGGCAAGGGAAAAGGUCUGUUUAUUCAGUCACCUGCUGAGCUUCGGAAUGACUCUUACGAAAUGCUUCUCAUCAACCCGUCUUGAAACACGGACCAAGGAGUCUAACAUGUGUGCAAGUGUUAGGGAUCAAGUCCCAAGCGCGAAAUUAACGUAAAGUGCUGAGAUAGGAAGCUUCGGCUGCACUAUCGACCGACCAUGAUCCUUCGAGUGAAAGGUUUGAGUGUGAGCAUACAUGUUGGGACCCGAAAGAUGGUGAACUAUGCUUGAGUAGGAUGAAGCCAGGGGAAACUCUGGUGGAGGUCCGUAGCGAUUCUAACGUGCAAAUUGAUCGUCGAACUUGAGUAUAGGGGCGAAAGACUAAUCGAACCAUCUAGUAGCUGGUUCCUCCCGAAAUUUCCCUUAGGAUAGCUGCAACCGAACAGUUUUAUCAGGUAAAGCGAAUGAUUAGAGGCCUCAGGAGUGAAAUGCUUUUGACCUAUUCUCAAACUUUAAAUGGGUAAGAGCCCCGAGUUGCUUAAUUGAACUCGGCGGUCGAAUGACGGUUGCUAGUGGGCCAAUCUGGGUAAGCUAGAUUGGCGAUGCGGGAUGCUCCGAACGUUAAGUUAAAGUGCCAAAAUAUCCGCUAACCUAGAUCCCACAAAAGGUGUUGGUUCAUCUAG
RNAcentral lists this ribosomal RNA (744 nucleotides) under uncultured stramenopile. RNAcentral's name for it is "LSU rRNA". It matches the Rfam family "Eukaryotic large subunit ribosomal RNA", at positions 399 to 1236 of the family's 3401-position model. The record is from RNAcentral.